UGGCGGACGGGUGAGUAAUGUCUGGGAAACUGCCUGAUGGAGGGGGAUAACUACUGGAAACGGUAGCUAAUACCGCAUAACGUCGCAAGACCAAAGAGGGGGACCUUGGGCCUCUUGCCAUCGGAUGUGCCCAGAUGGGAUUAGCUAGUAGGUGGGGUAAAGGCUCACCUAGGCGACGAUCCCUAGCUGGCCUGAGAGGAUGACCAGCCACACUGGAACUGAGACACGGUCCAG
RNAcentral lists this ribosomal RNA (234 nucleotides) under uncultured bacterium. RNAcentral describes it as "partial 16S ribosomal RNA". It matches the Rfam family "Bacterial small subunit ribosomal RNA", at positions 96 to 334 of the family's 1533-position model. The record is from RNAcentral.